CAGCUACAAACCACACAACUCUCAGUGAGGCGUGUGCUCAUCUGUGGGGAUUGUUUCUAAAUAAAACCGGCAGUAAGGGUUAUUUCCUCCUAAUGGCAUCAUUCUUAGAGUGCAGCUGGUUGUAAAUAAGCCUCUAGCUGCCUUUUUUUUUUUUUUUUUUUUUUUUUUUUUUUUUUAAACUGCUGGCUUUUUCAUUCAAGUGGUAGGACAUUGAAAGGUUAUCUAAUGGACCACGCAGACAGCUUUAUUUCAGUCUGGACUGAAAUUUAUUUGACUGCUUGAAAACCUCAGGGGUUUUCACCUCCCUGAGAGCAGCAAACAAAACAUCCGGGUCUUUGCAAACCAGCCUGUCCUUUGAAACACGGAGCAUUGCCAGGUUCCUCGCUGUGUUUUUGGCAGUCAGUUCUGCAGUUGAUAUUCUUGGACAGCCAGCGGGGUGAACUUCGGGACCUGCAGGAGACCUUAAGGAGCAAUAGCUGGAGAUAAGCCGGUAUGAGUGGUGGCAGCCUCUCAGCUCCCGGCGGAGGACGAGGAUCUCCUGAUUGAUGGGGACGGAGUUGAGGCUGUGGUCCAGCUGCCCGGCCGAGUUCACGCACCUGGAGUGGCGGCACUCAGCAUCAGCAAUCACUUGGGGGAAGCGGUUGUGGUCCUCGUCGAUCCUGUGGAAGACAGGAUAUGGGCUCACCUUUUCUGAGAUCUGCUGGUGAUGUCAUUGCUUCAGCUAUGUCACUCAAGUAGUAACAAAAUUCCAUGUUGAUGUUAGAAAACCACUGAAAAAUUGUCACGCAAGCUGCAGCGAGUGGAUGCAAACUAUGCGAUUUUGAACUCGGACUACAGUCGACAUCUAGGCAAACGCAUGUCGACAUGCUUCACUCGAGAUGCUCUAAGUAUCAAAAUCACUGCUCUCACCGGCACUGAUGGCUUGGAUCCAUUUGUUGCUUCACCAGUCUGAUGUCUUUCUGUUCUGAGGUGGGCAGAUGUUGGACAGCUGGUGCCCGUCCAGUUUUUCUCUACACUUACCUUGUCUGAAAACCCAGAUUUCUUCUCAAAUUUUAUUUAUUUUUUUUCCUCAAAUUUCCCAGUCUGGAUCAGGUUAUAUUUAUUGAUGUAUAUACCUCACCUCUGACAUGUCAAAUUUGACUAGAAUGUUUUGUGACACUGAGUUCCCAAACUUGAUCAUUCUUCACCUGAGAAGCAAAGCCCAAAACACCACUUUCGGUUGCUUUUGAGAUUGUUGUAUUUUUAUUUCCCUUCAUGAUCUUGUGCUAUGCAACAGGGCUGUGAUGCUACGAUCACAGUCUGGGAAAUGUGAAGGAUGUAAUUAAACCUUCAGUUCCUAGGUUAGGGUUCAAGAGAAGCCUUGUGUAGGCUGUGAGAUGAAAACUGACCCUCUUGUAGGCAGGAAAAAGGGAAGAAACUGCAGGCAUCUGCUCCGUGGUGCAUUGUGGUAGAUAGGUGAUAUCAUGCUACAAUAUUGGGAGCUAAAAUACCUCUCAUCAUGUAGCCCCACGACUGCCUGUGUCCUAGCUCUGUGUCCUGGGUUAUAAUGAUCACUGAUCAUGCUGUUUCUUCAUCCUACAAGACCAAUGUGCUGGAGCUGUACCUCACCCUGCUAGUAUUUAAACAUGCAAACUUUAAACCCCUGUGUUCAGGUGGACAGACGUUUGACAUGGUGACAAGCAGGAUCCCCUUCUCCCUUCCAGACAUUUGUAUUUUCCUAGAUUUUCACUAAGAUACAGUUAGGGGGCUGCAGUCCUGGAGAUGUUGGGCUGCUUCAAGGCUGUCCCUCCUCUUGACUUUGGAAUCUUUGGGAAUUUACAAAGGGAAACCCUGAUACUUCGGUACCAGCUUCAGAGAGAUUCCCUUCCUGAGCUUCAUCACAGUUGCUGUGAUAGCAGCUGCCUUCGUUUUUGUUUCUUUCUUAGGCAGAUGUUGAUGAGCCCUGAUUGCUCAUUAAAAGUAACGAGCUUGACCAAGAGACCCUGCCUGCAGAGAGGGAUGUCUGCAUUAACUCUCCUCAUCUGCUUUUGGGGAUUUAAAUUUAAACAGCUCUCUUGCAAAUAUUUUGGUCACUGGGAUGUAUGGGAUGCUCUGGGACUGGGUGCUCCCGUGGAAUCAUUCAGUAUCCUUGGGAAGGACAGUCCACCCAGAGUGCUGCAAAACCUGGUACGUAUAGAGAAAGAGAGGCUCAGACCUGUCAGGAUGCAGUUUCCCAGGUAAUGAUGCUGAUCCUGAUGGACUAUGAGAUGGCAGAAAUCAGCUGCCACCGUGUUCUCUGAUGAGGUUUUUGAGAAACUGUUUGGAGAGUCAGUAAUGAAUAACCACAAAAGUGUUGUUGCUGCUUGUAGGCUCAGUUUCAGUGAGAUUCUUGCCUUACAUCUCAGAAAGGAGAGGGAGAAUAUACCCAUCCUGCUCUUUAACAUUUUCCUUUUAGGAAAUAUUUCUCGUUGUUUUGCUCUGAGAGUGGGUGACAAGUUGUUAGGCUGUGCACCCUAAAGUAAUGCUUGGUAUAACAGACUCGAUGGUCUGACCCACUCCUCUUCUCAGCUCUAGCUUUCAUCCUGUUUGCACAUGAAAACAUUGCAAAUGAGCUGUGCUUCAUAUUUACUCCUGAGUCCAAAUUUUCUCAGCUUGUGCAAUCCAAAGGAGGUUGCAAACGAGAGUAAAAUUUACCUUGCAGUUUCUGGAAUAGCCAUGACCUAAAUCAGCUUGUUUAAAAGAUGCUGACGUUUGAAGAGUGACUUGUAUAAUUCAGUUUCUCUCUUAGAGAUGUACAGGUUAACGGAAAAGGUUCCCUCAGAAGGGGUUUUCUCUAAUGCUGUUUACUGAAAUAUCCAUUCAAAGUGGGUCAGUUAAAUUUGCGAUUUUAGAAGCAAGAAAGAUUUCAAAAGCCUGCAAGGUAGCGGAAGGUCAGGUUCAACCAGCCUGACCCUAAAUCCAGGCUUAUCUACUCUAAAUGUGUCAGUGGUUUACUCAGUACUUGAAAGGUGAAUAGUUAAGCAUUCCAACACAGCAGACGUAAUGCUCUCUGAAAUGGUGAAAAACAAAAAUACAAACAAAAACUUUCCAUGGUUUGUUCUGAGCCACGAAUGCACAAGUUUGCAAUUGCCAUAGGCAAGAUGAGAGGCUCUUAGGAAAAAACACACAUCUUGAAAUGCUUCCAGUACAUCUGAAUUAUGCAAAUGAAACUCUCACAUUUCUGAUUCUAAGCUUUUUCCCAGGUUAAAACAAUUAUUUUCUAAUUAUUCCUCAUCAGGAGUGAAAAGAAAAACUGAGCAUGAUUUUUCUCUAUGAGUUUAGAAUUUAAUGGCGUUUAUUUUGACCUUUAUCUCACUCUUAACUAGCAGUUUAAUUUCUAUAUGCAAAAAGGACUAUAGCUAGUGUUUUUUCUAUUAUGAUGUUUAAGGACAUAUGCAGCAAUUGUUUUUAUAAACCUGUGUGUGUGGUCUCUCAGGCGGGUGCCACCGAAAGCACUCCGAUAUUGCAAAGCUGCGAGCUCUGUGACUUCCUAUUAGAAGCAAGCAAGAAACAAUUAGUGCCACAUUAGCAACACAUUAGUGCCACAGAAACCACACUUAUUGGAGAGCUGAAAACUAGGAUGCUAAAAAAAGCUUCCUGAAAUGAGUGAAAGGUUAUCUAAAGCCUUCUGAAAUCAAAGCUAGCCCAUCUCUGGGCUCUGGUGAAAGAUUAAGUCGUUACUUCAGCACUUUACCCAGC
Oxyura jamaicensis (ruddy duck) is the source of this 3717-nucleotide long non-coding RNA. RefSeq lists it as uncharacterized. The transcript is spliced from 6 exons. Lineage: Eukaryota; Metazoa; Chordata; Aves; Anseriformes; Anatidae. The record is from RefSeq and is a predicted model, not a curated record.